RNAcentral lists this ribosomal RNA (1288 nucleotides) under Escherichia coli. RNAcentral's name for it is "partial 23S ribosomal RNA". It matches the Rfam family "Bacterial large subunit ribosomal RNA", at positions 1579 to 2843 of the family's 2925-position model. The record is from RNAcentral. Lineage: Bacteria; Pseudomonadati; Pseudomonadota; Gammaproteobacteria; Enterobacterales; Enterobacteriaceae.
ACGGUGCUGAAGCAACAAAUGCCCUGCUUCCAGGAAAAGCCUCUAAGCAUCAGGUAACAUCAAAUCGUACCCCAAACCGACACAGGUGGUCAGGUAGAGAAUACCAAGGCGCUUGAGAGAACUCGGGUGAAGGAACUAGGCAAAAUGGUGCCGUAACUUCGGGAGAAGGCACGCUGAUAUGUAGGUGAAGUCCCUCGCGGAUGGAGCUGAAAUCAGUCGAAGAUACCAGCUGGCUGCAACUGUUUAUUAAAAACACAGCACUGUGCAAACACGAAAGUGGACGUAUACGGUGUGACGCCUGCCCGGUGCCGGAAGGUUAAUUGAUGGGGUCAGCGCAAGCGAAGCUCUUGAUCGAAGCCCCGGUAAACGGCGGCCGUAACUAUAACGGUCCUAAGGUAGCGAAAUUCCUUGUCGGGUAAGUUCCGACCUGCACGAAUGGCGUAAUGAUGGCCAGGCUGUCUCCACCCGAGACUCAGUGAAAUUGAACUCGCUGUGAAGAUGCAGUGUACCCGCGGCAAGACGGAAAGACCCCGUGAACCUUUACUAUAGCUUGACACUGAACAUUGAGCCUUGAUGUGUAGGAUAGGUGGGAGGCUUUGAAGUGUGGACGCCAGUCUGCAUGGAGCCGACCUUGAAAUACCACCCUUUAAUGUUUGAUGUUCUAACGUUGACCCGUAAUCCGGGUUGCGGACAGUGUCUGGUGGGUAGUUUGACUGGGGCGGUCUCCUCCUAAAGAGUAACGGAGGAGCACGAAGGUUGGCUAAUCCUGGUCGGACAUCAGGAGGUUAGUGCAAUGGCAUAAGCCAGCUUGACUGCGAGCGUGACGGCGCGAGCAGGUGCGAAAGCAGGUCAUAGUGAUCCGGUGGUUCUGAAUGGAAGGGCCAUCGCUCAACGGAUAAAAGGUACUCCGGGGAUAACAGGCUGAUACCGCCCAAGAGUUCAUAUCGACGGCGGUGUUUGGCACCUCGAUGUCGGCUCAUCACAUCCUGGGGCUGAAGUAGGUCCCAAGGGUAUGGCUGUUCGCCAUUUAAAGUGGUACGCGAGCUGGGUUUAGAACGUCGUGAGACAGUUCGGUCCCUAUCUGCCGUGGGCGCUGGAGAACUGAGGGGGGCUGCUCCUAGUACGAGAGGACCGGAGUGGACGCAUCACUGGUGUUCGGGUUGUCAUGCCAAUGGCACUGCCCGGUAGCUAAAUGCGGAAGAGAUAAGUGCUGAAAGCAUCUAAGCACGAAACUUGCCCCGAGAUGAGUUCUCCCUGACUCCUUGAGAGUCCUGAAGGAACGUUGAAG